CUGGAAAGACAGGGAAGAAGGAAGAAAAAGCAGAAGGAAGUGAAGGAAGAUAGAAAUACAUCAGUAAAGAACAGAGAUGUAAUGAUAAGGAGGAGGAAAUAAUACAGGUUGCAGGAGAGAAAAUGGGAAGCAGGCUGAGAGGCAAAAAGAGAAGGAAAAUUGUGCAAAGUAGUAAGGAACAGCAAAGAGGAAAGAACCAAAGAGUAGAUCUAUUUUUCCCAGUCUGUUCCAGCAGCCGUUGUAAGGGCAGUCUCUAGAGCAUAUUCUAGGAAGAAUUAAGAUUUCGGCAUCAUACAGCAGGAAGCAAAGAAGAUCUCUUCUCCAAAGYUGCAAGAACUGGCUCAAGUCUGGUCCUGGAUCCCUCUCAUCCGUUGACAAUCACUUCCGAAAGGCAAGACUCAGUAUUGUGAGACACCCCGGCUCCAUUGGAUCACAGUGCCUCCUAGCAAGCCUUCUGCAUAGUCUUCCUCAUCCCCAAAACUAUCCGGUGCAGGAAACGGUCUAACAAGAGCUCUACAAAUGCACAGACCUCUUAACACGUCUCUAAGUAUGAUAUGACAGCACUAAAGAAGUGCACCCUGUCAGUGAGAAAUGCUGRUUACCGUGGAAGGAAAUUAGAACAAGACUUGAGCCAAACUGGUUACCUGACUUUUGGAAAAGUCCUUUCAGUCAUAUUACAACAUUAUAAAUCACCUGCUGAGCGACUGGGAUUCAAGGUGGUUGAUUCCUCACAGUUUCUGCAAGAUCAAAGCCAGUGCAGGAUGUACCCAGGCACCUCGAGAAGAAGGAGCACCAUUAAAGGAUGGCUUUGAAAACCCACCUGAGUGCUUUGCUGAGCAGAAUGCAAACAUGCUAAAUCUGUGCUGAAUGGACGAUGAAGGAGCUACAUGGAGACAUGCACACGCAUGUGCAGUGUGUGUGCAUCCAGGAUCUGUGACAAGUGGCGGACAGUGCAAGACUACAUCCGUCUGUGAGACCUGAAGGAAGCUCACAGCCAGAGCAGAACUAUAGGGAAAAAUUGAGAGGAUGGAGCAAACCAAAGGAAAGGACUAGAAGGAAAGUAAUUCUUCUGUAAUGCCCAGGUUAUUACAAAUUAAAUAGGUCAGCAUGUUGUAAUGUGGUGCAUGGCACAAUCUUCCAGUGGCCCAGGGGGACACAGGAGCAGUCUCCAAACAACCUCCUCUCUCCCUAUUUCAUAAAACCCUCUGAGCAAUGCACCAGCCUUUCAUCCUCUGAGAUUCUGCUUUUCCUGUUUGAUCUUGCACAAUAUAGCCAUGCUUUUCAGAUAUGUGUGCUCUUUC
Molecule: long non-coding RNA, 1301 nt
Filed under: Dromaius novaehollandiae (emu)
Lineage: Eukaryota; Metazoa; Chordata; Aves; Casuariiformes; Dromaiidae
Description: lncRNA (ENSDNVG00000007182.1)
Source: RNAcentral